UACGUAGGGUGCGAGCGUUGUCCGGAAUUACUGGGCGUAAAGAGCUCGUAGGUGGUUUGUCGCGUUGUUCGUGAAAACUCACAGCUUAACUGUGGGCGUGCGGGCGAUACGGGCAGACUGGAGUACUGCAGGGGAGACUGGAAUUCCUGGUGUAGCGGUGGAAUGCGCAGAUAUCAGGAGGAACACCAAUUGCGAAGGCAGCUCGCUGGGCCGAUACUGACGCUGAGGAGCGAAAGCGUGGGGAGCGAACAGG
Molecule: ribosomal RNA, 253 nt
Filed under: uncultured bacterium
Lineage: Bacteria
Description: partial 16S ribosomal RNA
Rfam family: Bacterial small subunit ribosomal RNA
Source: RNAcentral